GCUUGGUCUUGGUAGACAAGGCGCACGGAACCAAGAGAACCCGCUCCCAGGGGGCGGCGAGGCCUCGUUCCGCGGCCGCUCCGCUGUGCACCUGCGGGGGGCGCAUGCGCUCACGGUGCGACCUGGACGCCAUGUGCGCGAGGGGCGCACGCAGGCUUCCUGCCCGCUUCCCACCCCAGGGGCCCUAGGGGCACGGGUAGGUGCACACGUGCAGUGCCGGGUAGGCCACCAGGCUGCCGCCCCUCCUGCGGCCCGGCUGCGCCCCGGGCGCCGGCUCUCCGCGAGGCGCUGCUGAGGCUCCGGGGAGCGAGGGAGGCUGGAGCACCCGGCUUCUGCCCCUGUGCGAGAGAGCAGAGGUGCGGGUCAGGGCUGGACAGGUGGGAGGCCGAGGCAGGCAAGCCUCUCCCCCAGGGCCGGCUCAGCACCGCGGAAGGGGUCUGUCCUGGUCCCCUGGGCUCCCGGGGGCUCGGGGAGGGCAGAGCCUGACCGGUGAGGGGCGAUCCCACGUGUGUGGAAGUCAGGGCCCCACACCCCUGUUAUUAGAGCAACAGCCCUGCAGAAACGGGAGGGGAUCCCCCAGGCGAUGGAGGUGAUCAGAGGAUCUAUGUGCAUGUGUGAAAAGGCCACACUGAGACCUAGUAUUCUGUAAAAAUAAUAGGCGUAAUCAAAUAAAUUUUUUACAAUGAAAUAAUCCACUAGAAACAUUAAGAAAAUGAAGUAAACGUAAAGGUGUGGGUGGCAUUCAUACCAUACAUAUACAUUUUUGUUUUUUUGAGACAGGGUCUUGCUGUGUAGCCCAGGCUGGCUUCAAACUUGCAGUGAUCCUCCUGUCUCAGCCUCCUGAAUGCUGAGACUACAGCAUUAACUGUUGGCAUAGCCGUGAGAUGCUGUACCUGCUGCACCCUCUCCUUGUCCUUUGGCCUGAUCAGGGGAGGUGCUGGCUGGGCCGGGGCAGCGUCUCGGCCUCUUCCACUUAACUGUGUCUGAAAUAUAGGAGCUCAGCCUCACUUAGUUUCCUAGGUGAAAACUGGGAUUGUACUGAGCACACAGCAUUUACGGGCUGUCUAUGCAUGGGUGUUGGAGCAUGCUGACAUCCCAACCUCAAGAAAGGUGAAACCCAAAGAGUGACAAUUCAAAGAGGAGGAAAGGGGGCAGGGCCUGGUGCUGCUGGCCUUGAAUCCCAGCAUCAGGGGCCUGAGGCAGGAGGAUUGCAAUUGGAGCCCACCUUGGGCUAUGAAGUGAGUUCAAGGCCAGCCUGAGCCAUAUAGUAAGACAAUCUUACCUUUGUGUCCAGUGAAAGCAGGCAAAAGGGCUAAUGUUUAUCAGUGCCCAUCUGCAGGGACUUUUCAGCUUCAAAUCUAAUGCUCACACGACCUUUAGGGUGCAUAUUUCAGAUUCAGAAACUGAGUCCUGGGCUGCUAAAGUAACUCACAGAAAACCAACUGAGCAGAAAUACUGCAACACAAGUGUGUCAGAGUACAUUUUUCCCACUGUUGUUUUCUUUGUUUGAGGCAGGGUCUCACUAAGUCUUCCCAGCUGGCCUCAAACUCGGGGCAAUCCUCCUGCCUCAGCCUCCUGAAUGCUAGGGCUCACAGGUGUGCGCUGCCAUGCCCAGUGUUUUCCCAGGUUUGGAAGACCGGGUUUGUAAUGCACCAUACAUGGUGAGAAAGCUGGGGGAUGCAACACACAUCUAGACAAGGAAACCCACUUGGGCUUCGUAGCCUCCUGCGCUUAGCCUAAUGCUGAUUCUAAACAAUAUUUCUGACAAUUUUGUGCAUAAAACAAGUUUCCGGCUUGGAACUUUUCAUCGGGCUGUGACACCGGUCCUCCACAAGUUUAGAUUCUGGAGCUCAGUGGGUUAGGGAUGGUGCCCUGUAUCCGCAGCAGGGCUGGAGCAGAACUCAAGGCCCACUCUGGAGCCUGUGCCCCAGCUGGAAGGAUGGGGCCGUGCCCGUGUACCUGGCACUGCGCAAGGGACCUUCAGUCCCAUCAGUCCCCGGCACUGAACCCAGGGCCUUCUCAAUGAGCUACGUCCCCAUCACCCCCCUUUUUUUUUGGUACCAGGGAUCCAACUCAGGUCCUUGUGCUUGCGAGGCAGGUGGCGGAACCACUGAGCUAAAUCUCCGGCCCAAUCCCC
Long non-coding RNA from Heterocephalus glaber (naked mole-rat), 2137 nucleotides. The record is from Ensembl. Lineage: Eukaryota; Metazoa; Chordata; Mammalia; Rodentia; Bathyergidae.